Molecule: ribosomal RNA, 393 nt
Filed under: uncultured bacterium
Lineage: Bacteria
Description: partial 16S ribosomal RNA
Rfam family: Bacterial small subunit ribosomal RNA
Source: RNAcentral
AUACGGAGGAUCCGAGCGUUAUCCGGAUUUAUUGGGUUUAAAGGGUGCUCAGGCGGGCUAUUAAGUCGGCGGUGAAAUUUUGCGGCUCAACCGUAAAAGUGCCUUCGAAACUGGUAUCCUUGAGUGUAGAUGAAGUAGGCGGAAUUUGUGGUGUAGCGGUGAAAUGCAUAGAUAUCACGAGGAACUCCGAUUGCGCAGGCAGCUUACUAAACUACUACUGACGCUCAGGCACGAAGGCGUGGAGAUCAAACAGGAUUAGAUACCCUGGUAGUCCACGCAGUAAACGAUGAUUACUAGCUGUUUGCGAUACAAUGUAAGCGGCUGAGCGAAAGCGUUAAGUAAUCCACCUGGGGAGUACGUUCGCAAGAAUGAAACUCAAAGGAAUUGACGGGG